UCGGCAACGGAUAUCUCGCUCUCGCAUCGAUGAAGAACGUAGCGAAAUGCGAUACUUGGUGUGAAUUGCAGAAUCCCGUGAACCAUCGAGUUUUUGAACGMAAGUUGCGCCCGAAGCCAUUAGGCCGAGGGCACGCCUGCCUGGGCGUCACGCGC
RNAcentral lists this ribosomal RNA (155 nucleotides) under Pelargonium auritum var. auritum. Its description in RNAcentral is "5.8S ribosomal RNA". It matches the Rfam family "5.8S ribosomal RNA". Rfam says of the family: 5.8S ribosomal RNA (5.8S rRNA) is a component of the large subunit of the eukaryotic ribosome. The record is from RNAcentral. Lineage: Eukaryota; Viridiplantae; Streptophyta; Magnoliopsida; Geraniales; Geraniaceae.